AUGGCGGGCAUCGGGGCCAUGAUUGCCGCUGCACUUUUGAAGGAGGUGGUGCAGCAGAUUGGUUCGCUGGUGGGAGGUCAGAUUAGGCUGCAGAAGAACUUCCACAAGGACCUGAAGGAGAUGAAGGCUACCCUCGAGUCCAUUGAGGCGCUCCUCAAGGACGCUGAGGACGCCAACACCAACAAUUCCAUGCGUUUGUGGCUCAGUCGUCUUAAAGACGCGAUGUAUGGCAUCGCCGACAUGAUUGAUGAUUUUGAAGCAGGAACUGAGGCUGAGUCAACAUGCAAGCUCUCCAUCAAGAAACAUCUAGCAGGUAUGAUGCCUUGUUUCACAAUCGGGCCCAAGUUCACAAUGGCUAACAAGAUGAAGACGAUGAGAGAGGAACUGCAGGGGAUCACAGAUCAAUACCAGAAAUUCAUGUUAGUGCCGGGCACUAAUGCCAAUGAACCGAAUCUGAUACAAAUGCGUGAAACAUCAUCAACCAUUGAGGCAUCAGUCAUUGGGAGGAGCGAAGAGGAAAAUAAAAUAUGGGUUUCUUUAUCUGAAAGCAUAAUAGAAGAGCUCAUUGUCCUUGCUAUACACGGCAUUGGAGGCCUUGGCAAGACGACCUUGGCGAAAAUGAUUUACAAUAAUAAAACAAAAUUUGAAGACUAUGUCCGGGUAUGGAUUUAUGUGUCCGAGACAUUUGAUUUGAACAAAAUUGGCAAUUCUUUAAUAAGUCAACUGUCAGAGAAUGAGAGUCUGUACACUGAAAAGCAUAUGAUACACAGAUCACUUGCAAAGGUACUCACCAAUAAGAAGAUUCUUAUUAUUCUAGAUGAUCUGUGGGCGGAGGAUGAUUCCCAAUUGGAUAGUCUGAUUGCGAUGCUUAAGGCUGGAACGGGUAGCAAGGUGGUUGUUAUAGCAACCACACGCAAUGAGGAGAUUGCAAGGAAAAUUUCGGCCAUUCAUAGUCAAACAAAAAAAUUGACCAUUCCCCCACAUGAGCUAGCAUCACUGACGGAUGAGAUGUGCUGGACUAUAAUUAAGGAAAAAAGUGGGUUUGAAUCUAGAGAUGACAAAGAACAUUUGAAGCAUAUAGGGGAAGCCAUUGCAGCGAAGUGUGGAGGUGUGGCUUUAGCAGCUCAAUCAAUUGGACCCAUUUUGGAAACUAUGACCUAUAAUCAGUGGAAGAAAGUGAGAGACAGUGAUAUCUGGAAAGAAUCUGCUUCUUCUUCAGAUCCAAAAGAUAAAGCUGCAACACUGGUGCUUGCAUCCUUAAGGUUAAGCUAUACUUUUAUGCCUCCAUAUUUGAAGCUCUGCUUUUCCUAUUGGGCAAUCUUUCCAAAAGGAUGCAAGAUAUCUAAAGGUGAUCUAAUUCACCAGUGGAUUUCUCUUUCUUUUAUUGGGGCAACACCAACAUUCACCGCUUGGGAGCUCGGCGAGAUGUACAUUACUCAGCUUUCGAAGCUUUCCUUCCUUGAACAUUCGAAGGUAAUUGUGUGGGAAUUCAUACGACGCUUGUUUAUAUGGUGCACCUGUUUAUCCAAUAUUUUGGAGGUUAAUGCGUUUUACAACAUACUCAACUUAUCCACGUAA
This 1578-nucleotide ribosomal RNA is filed under the name Triticum aestivum (bread wheat). Its description in RNAcentral is "partial small subunit ribosomal RNA". Lineage: Eukaryota; Viridiplantae; Streptophyta; Magnoliopsida; Poales; Poaceae. The record is from RNAcentral.